RNAcentral lists this ribosomal RNA (775 nucleotides) under uncultured Neocallimastigales. RNAcentral describes it as "partial large subunit ribosomal RNA". It matches the Rfam family "Eukaryotic large subunit ribosomal RNA", at positions 24 to 644 of the family's 3401-position model. The record is from RNAcentral. Lineage: Eukaryota; Fungi; Neocallimastigomycota; Neocallimastigomycetes; Neocallimastigales.
UAUCUCUGUAGAGUCUGCAUAUCAAUAAGCGGAGGAAAAGAAACUAACAAGGAUUCCCUUAGUAACGGCGAGUGAAGCGGGAAGAGCUCAAAUUUGAAAUCUUCAAGGUUCUACCUUGACGAAUUGUAGUUUAAAGAAGUGUUUUCUGUUAGAUGAGUAGCAAAAGUUCCUUGGAAUGGGACAUCAUAGAGGGUGAGAAUCCCGUAUUUGGUUAUUCAUUUUAGCUUUGUGAUACACUUUCAAAGAGUCGGAUUGUUUGGGAAUGCAGUCCAAAAUGGGUGGUAAAUUUCAUCUAAAGCUAAAUAUUGGCGAGAGACCGAUAGGCGAACAAGUACCGUGAGGGAAAGAUGAAAAGAACUUUGAAAAGAGAGUUAAACAGUACGUGAAAUUGUCAAAAGGGAAGCGUUUGACACCAGUGUUGUUUUUCCGAAAAUCAAUUACGAAUGGCUUGAUUUUGUGUUGUAUUGACCUUAUCAGCUUUCUUCACUUUUUUCGAGUUUUUCUUAAUGCACUUUUCGGUUAACAAGUCAACAUCAAUUUCUUUUGUUGUAAAAGAGUAUUCGGAAGGUGGCUUUCUUUUCGGAGAAAGUGUUUAUAGCCCUAUACUUCUACAAUCGGAGAGAUUGAGGUCUGCAGCGUAGAUCCUUCGGGGUUAGAUACACUUGUGCUAAGUUGUAGCUUUUCAUAGACAACUUGUUGACUAUGUUUAGUCAUGCGGCUUACUCGCUUGUGCUAUUUUACCUACGCUUAGGAUGUUGACUGAUAUGUAGUCGUA